GGAACUUUUGCCUGCAGUCUUCUCUCUGAAGUCUUCUCUGACCUCCCAAGGUCUCUUGGGUCUCUCUCUUGCUGUUCCCCAGACUUUUAGCCCAGAGUUUAUUGUUAGCUGAUAGUGAGUUCCUUCAAGGUCCUAAUCUUAUUCUGUUCAUUUUCAUUUUGUUCUUGCAACUGACUUUGGGCUUCCUUGGAAGAACAGAAGUGACUUGUUAGACUCCUGGGCUCUGCAUGGUGUGGCUCAUUAAUCUCAUACCUUAGUAUUCGCUUCUGCAGGUUUGUGCAGCAGUCCACAGUUGUCGAGGAAGGAAGAAGAGUACAGCCUUAAGUUGAAGAAGGACAUGUUUGCUUCCCUUUCUGCCGAGAUUAUAAGUUUCCUGAGGCCUCCCCAGCCAAGUGGAACUGUCAAGGAUAAGCCAACUACAGGGGAGAGGAAGUGGAUGGAGCUAUUUUUGUGGC
RNAcentral lists this long non-coding RNA (455 nucleotides) under Callithrix jacchus (white-tufted-ear marmoset). RNAcentral describes it as "lncRNA (ENSCJAG00000065984.2)". The record is from RNAcentral. Lineage: Eukaryota; Metazoa; Chordata; Mammalia; Primates; Cebidae.